AAACUUUCAACAACGGAUCUCUUGGUUCCGGCAUCGAUGAAGAACGCAGCGAAAUGCGAUACGUAAUGUGAAUUGCAAAUUCAGUGAAUCAUCGAGUCUUUGAACGCACAUUGCGCCCCCUGGUAUUCCGGAGGGCAUGCCUGUCCGAGCGUCAUUG
This 157-nucleotide ribosomal RNA is filed under the name Penicillium camemberti. RNAcentral describes it as "5.8S ribosomal RNA". It matches the Rfam family "5.8S ribosomal RNA". From Rfam's summary of the family: 5.8S ribosomal RNA (5.8S rRNA) is a component of the large subunit of the eukaryotic ribosome. It is transcribed by RNA polymerase I as part of the 45S precursor that also contains 18S and 28S rRNA. Lineage: Eukaryota; Fungi; Ascomycota; Eurotiomycetes; Eurotiales; Aspergillaceae. The record is from RNAcentral.